This is a long non-coding RNA of Rhododendron vialii, 634 nucleotides long. RefSeq lists it as uncharacterized. The record is from RefSeq and is a predicted model, not a curated record. NCBI's taxonomy places the organism in Eukaryota, Viridiplantae, Streptophyta, Magnoliopsida, Ericales, Ericaceae. The transcript has 3 exons.
UCAACUGGGUGAAUGCUUUCAUCUUUUCUUGGUUCCUACUGAAACCCUGUUGAUUUAAUUUAUUUUUCUUUUGCCCUAACUUUUCUCUCUCUCGUUGAUGAUAACAGAGCACCUCAACGAUGACCACUCAGGGGUUUCCGACAAGACAAUGAAGACAAUUUCUCUCACGUAUGUGAUUCUACCAAGCAAACUCUCUAAUGCUUCAAUUUGAGGUUCAGGAGUCGAUAUUCGACCAAGCAAACUCUCUAAUCCUCAACUCUCCCAAGAAUCUUUUCCAGGGCUGAACACUAUGUACGUCUUCCCUGCUACCUCGGGAUUCCACCAUUGGUUUCGAAUGUCGCUAGGAGGCAACCUAUAAUUAGGGCCUAUGUGGGAAAUGACUUCCAAGAUGGUGACCAAGGUUCCUCUCCUUUACCAGCACAUUCUCCACAACUUGAUGGACAUGAUGGUCAAAAAGUAUGCUUGGUGAGUUACACUAUUCCAAAACACGAUGUGGCGGAGGGAAUUGUUAUUAGUAAGGACCCGUUGGUGAAAGUAGAUGGAAAGCCAUUGGGUUUUGAUUUUUGGAAAGUGCUCAUUAAGAAAACAAAAUACCUAAUGCUUCUUUGGAAAUACCUCGCAAAAAAUUUCGCAC